AAACGUUAAAGGAAUUGACGGGUCCCCGCACAAGCAGCGGAGCGUGUGGUUUAAUUCGUUGCUACACGAAGAACCUUACCUGGGUUUUGACAUAGAGGUGGUAGGGAAGCGAAAGCGGACCGACCCUUCGGGGGAGCCUCUACAGGUGUUGCAUGGCUGUCGUCAGCUCGUGUCGUGAGAUGUUCGGUUAAGUCCGCUAACGAGCGCAACCCUCGCUGUGUGUUACAAGUGUCACACGGUACUGCCGGUAUUAAGUCGGAGGAAGGUGGGGAUGACGUCAAGUCCUCAUGGCCCUUAUGGGUAGGGCUUCACACGUCAUACAAUGGUCGGUACAGAGGGUUGCCAAGCCGCGAGGUGGAGCCAAUCCCUUAAAGCCGAUCGUAGUCCGGAUCGUAGUCUGCAACUCGACUACGUGAAGUCGGAAUCGCUAGUAAUCGCAGGUCAGCAUACUGCGGUGAAUACGUUCCCGGGCCUU
Molecule: ribosomal RNA, 475 nt
Filed under: uncultured Anaerolineaceae bacterium
Lineage: Bacteria; Bacillati; Chloroflexota; Anaerolineae; Anaerolineales; Anaerolineaceae
Description: bacterial SSU rRNA
Rfam family: Bacterial small subunit ribosomal RNA
Source: RNAcentral